This 253-nucleotide ribosomal RNA is filed under the name uncultured bacterium. Its description in RNAcentral is "partial 16S ribosomal RNA". It matches the Rfam family "Bacterial small subunit ribosomal RNA", at positions 524 to 776 of the family's 1533-position model. The record is from RNAcentral.
UACGGGGGGGGCAAGCGUUGUUCGGAAUUACUGGGCGUAAAGGGCUCGUAGGCGGCCAACUAAGUCGGAUGUGAAAUCCCCAGGCUCAACCUGGGAACUGCAUCCGAUACUGGAUGGCUUGAGUUCGGGAGAGGGAUGCGGAAUUCCAGGUGUAGCGGUGAAAUGCGUAGAUAUCUGGAGGAACACCAAUGGCGAAGGCAGCUCGCUGGGACGUUACUGACGCUGAGACGCGAAAGCGUGGGGAGCAAACAGG